CUACGGGUGGCACCAGUAGGGAAUAUUGCGCAAUGGACGAAAGUCUGACGCAGCAACGCCGCGUGGGUGAUGGAGCUCUUUGGAGUGUAAAACCCUGUCAGUGGGGAAGAACCGUACCGGGAGUAACUGCCCGGUGCCUGACGGUACCCACAGAGGAAGCACCGGCUAACUCCGUGCCAGCAGCCGCGGUAAUACGGGGGGUGCCAGCGUUGUUCGGAUUUACUGGGCGUAAAGGGCGUGUAGGCGGACCUUCAAGUCGGGUGUGAAACCUGGUGGCUUAACCACCAGCCUGCAUUCAAUACUGUCGGUCUUGAGUACAGAAGAGGAAAGCGGAAUUCCAGGUGUAGCGGUGAAAUGCGUAGAUAUCUGGAAGAACACCGGUAGCGAAGGCGGCUUUCUGGUCUGAUACUGACGCUGAAACGCGAAGGCUAGGGGAGCAAACAGGAUUAGAUACCCCUGUAGUC
RNAcentral lists this ribosomal RNA (464 nucleotides) under uncultured bacterium. RNAcentral describes it as "partial 16S ribosomal RNA". It matches the Rfam family "Bacterial small subunit ribosomal RNA", at positions 339 to 795 of the family's 1533-position model. The record is from RNAcentral.